UACGGAGGGUGCAAGCGUUAUCCGGAUUCACUGGGUUUAAAGGGUGCGUAGGCGGCGCGGUAAGUCGGGUGUGAAAUCUCGGAGCUUAACUCCGAAACUGCAUUCGAUACUGCCGUGCUUGAGGACUGGAGAGGAGACUGGAAUUUACGGUGUAGCGGUGAAAUGCGUAGAUAUCGUAAGGAAGACCAGCGGCGAAGGCGGGUCUCUGGACAGUUCCUGACGCUGAGGCACGAAGGCCAGGGGAGCAAACGGG
RNAcentral lists this ribosomal RNA (253 nucleotides) under uncultured bacterium. Its description in RNAcentral is "partial 16S ribosomal RNA". It matches the Rfam family "Bacterial small subunit ribosomal RNA", at positions 524 to 776 of the family's 1533-position model. The record is from RNAcentral.